AACUACAGACUUGAAUUCGGCUGUGUGCCGUAUAAUAUAGGUGCAGAAUUUAUAUUGCGGUAGCAACGCUUCGAAAUAAGAACGUGUUAAAGCACAAGCAAAAUUAGCACAACAGCAGCAAAGGUGACGGUCGGAUUCUCAGGCUAAGCAUCAAUGGGCGCGAUUUGAAAUGCGUCUCACAGCUAUAAUAUAAGUUACACAGCUAUUUUAACUACAGUCUUCGCAAUAUGCAUUACACAGCUAUAUGCCAAAAAAAUGGGGGUGCUAAGUCCACUUAUAGAUCUCACACGCAUAUUGGGAUUUUCCGUGU
Long non-coding RNA from Bradysia coprophila, 310 nucleotides. The record is from RefSeq and is a predicted model, not a curated record. Lineage: Eukaryota; Metazoa; Arthropoda; Insecta; Diptera; Sciaridae.